Molecule: ribosomal RNA, 243 nt
Filed under: uncultured Actinomycetales bacterium
Lineage: Bacteria; Bacillati; Actinomycetota; Actinomycetes; Actinomycetales
Description: partial 16S ribosomal RNA
Rfam family: Bacterial small subunit ribosomal RNA
Source: RNAcentral
UACUCGAGUGGCGAACGGGUGAGUAACACGUGGGUGAUCUGCCCUGCACUUCGGGAUAAGCUUGGGAAACUGGGUCUAAUACCGGAUAGGACCGCACUUUAGUGUGGUGGUUGGAAAGUUUUUUCGGUGUAGGAUGAGCUCGCGGCCUAUCAGCUUGUUGGUGGGGUAAUGGCCUACCAAGGCGGCGACGGGUAGCCGGCCUGAGAGGGUGUACGGCCACAUUGGGACUGAGAUACGGCCCAG